This is a non-coding RNA of Staphylotrichum longicolle, 80 nucleotides long. Lineage: Eukaryota; Fungi; Ascomycota; Sordariomycetes; Sordariales; Chaetomiaceae. The record is from the annotation of a GenBank genome assembly.
UCUUCCGUAGUAUAGUGGUCAGUAUGUGAGCUUUUCAACCACAAACGCUCGAGAGCCGGGUUCAAUUCCCGGCGGGAGAG